UACGUAGGGGGCAAGCGUUGUCCGGAAUCAUUGGGCGUAAAGAGCGUGUAGGCGGUCCGGUAAGUCGGCUGUGAAAGUCCAAGGCUCAACCUUGGGAUGCCGGUCGAUACUGCCGGACUAGAGUUCGGAAGAGGCGAGUGGAAUUCCCGGUGUAGCGGUGAAAUGCGCAGAUAUCGGGAGGAACACCUAUGGCGAAGGCAGCUCGCUGGGACGGUACUGACGCUGAGGAGCGAAAGCAUGGGGAGCGAACAGG
RNAcentral lists this ribosomal RNA (253 nucleotides) under uncultured bacterium. Its description in RNAcentral is "partial 16S ribosomal RNA". It matches the Rfam family "Bacterial small subunit ribosomal RNA", at positions 524 to 776 of the family's 1533-position model. The record is from RNAcentral.